This is a transfer RNA of Prunus persica (peach), 75 nucleotides long. It matches the Rfam family "tRNA". Rfam says of the family: Transfer RNA (tRNA) molecules are approximately 80 nucleotides in length. Their secondary structure includes four short double-helical elements and three loops (D, anti-codon, and T loops). Further hydrogen bonds mediate the characteristic L-shaped molecular structure. tRNAs have two regions of fundamental functional importance: the anti-codon, which is responsible for specific mRNA codon recognition, and the 3' end, to which the tRNAs corresponding amino acid is attached (by aminoacyl-tRNA synthetases). tRNAs cope with the degeneracy of the genetic code in two manners: having more than one tRNA (with a specific anti-codon) for a particular amino acid; and 'wobble' base-pairing, i.e. permitting non-standard base-pairing at the 3rd anti-codon position. Lineage: Eukaryota; Viridiplantae; Streptophyta; Magnoliopsida; Rosales; Rosaceae. The record is from Rfam.
AUCCCAGUAGUUUAGUAGUAGAGCAGUUAGCUAUUCACCACUGAUUCGUUGUAGGUUCAAAUCCUACUUGGGAUC